Molecule: long non-coding RNA, 998 nt
Organism: Venturia canescens
Lineage: Eukaryota; Metazoa; Arthropoda; Insecta; Hymenoptera; Ichneumonidae
Exons: 4
Source: RefSeq, a predicted model, not a curated record
UCGAAGAUCGAUGGAACCUGCCACCGCAGUGCGCAUUACGAAAAUGAAUGGAUUUUAGUAGCGAGCCUGCGCACUCAAAGCUAAUAGAAUCAGUUUAUUACGGAUUGUCUACAGGGUCGUCGCUUCCCUGUACAGCACCCAUGAAACGGGUACAUCUAACGCGAGAGCCGCGAUAGCGUAUAGGAAGUAAGUUCACCAUGCACCGUAUUUCAUCACUUCUCACCUAUGGAAGAGGUAGAUACAGACUUUAAACAAAAGAAAGAAUACUUCCUCGCCUGUAUGCAGAAAAUUGUGUACGUUCUCUGCCUUAUUUCUUCUUAAUAUCUCGCAAAGAGUCUGCGAUAAUCAGACAAACCGGAGAUGUCAAAAUAUCAAUGGAACGGAUUAAAAAAUGGGCAAAACCAUAUUUCAUAUAAAUGAUUCGAGCAGAGAGAGAAAUAUGUAGUGAGAAUAAGAAUUGUAGAGGCCAGGAGAUAAGAGACAGCCCAAAUAAUAUUAAUUGGUAUCAUUCUUUUGGUUACUCCGUCGAUCAAUGUUCUUCGACAGCUUCGCCGAUUUAUUAACGCGAUGCCUAUAAGCACGCGACACAUAUUUUUAUUGACAGGACACCUUAAAGGAUUUUACCUAGCAGAGAUGAUGAAUAUUGAAAGUGUUCGACUGCGCUUUGACCUUCGUCGCGUUCAUCUUCAGCUCAGCUUCAAAUUUUCUGUCCUCUCAACGUCCAUAGUUGCGCCUCUGAUAUGAAUAAAAGAUGCGUGCUCUGACAUUAUAGCACGCAAAUCCUACUCACCGAACUUUCUGUCUCGCGGGUGGGUGUGGAAACAGGCAUAAUAAUACAUCAUUUUAAAAAGUUGAAGUUUCGUCGUGUCAACGCACGUUUUAACAUCAUUUAACCAUAUGGGGAUCGUUAAAAAUCAAUUAAUAAAUGAAUCAUGACUUAUAAGAAUAAAGUAGAAUUAUUAUUAUUUACAUAUACUUUUGAAGUUGAAAUAAUGAAA